GAUGAACGCUGGCGGCGUGCCUAACACAUGCAAGUCGAGCGAAAGCACGGGAAGCUUUCUCUCUUGCUGUUAGCGGCGGACGGGUGGGUAAGACGUGGAUAACCUACCUCUUAGUCUGGGGUGAUAUCGGGGAAACGGUGCUGCUACUAGCUCAUACUUUGUACCGGUUGGUUCAGAAGUGCAUGACGGCUUUCGCGUCACUUUUAGCUGGUUCCGCGCUGGAUUAGCUAGUUGGUAAGGUAACGGCCUACCAAGGCAACGAUGCGUAGCCGAUCUGAGAGGGUGAUCGGCCACACUGGAACUGAGACACGGUCCAGACUCCUACGGGAGGCAGCAGUGGGGAAUCUUCGACAAUGGGCGAAAGCCUGACGGAGCAACGCCGCGUGAGUGAUGAAGGUCUUCGGAUCGUAAAACUCUGUUAUUAGGGAAGAACAUAUGUGUAUGUAACUGUGGACAUCCUGACGGUACCUAAACAGAAAGCCACGGCUAACUACGUG
RNAcentral lists this ribosomal RNA (497 nucleotides) under uncultured bacterium. Its description in RNAcentral is "partial 16S ribosomal RNA". It matches the Rfam family "Bacterial small subunit ribosomal RNA", at positions 28 to 507 of the family's 1533-position model. The record is from RNAcentral.